GUUUGGUCCUAGCCUUUCUGUCAAAUCUUACUUAACUUACACAUGCAAGUCUCCGCACCCCGGUGAGAACGCCCCUCAACUCCUAAUGGAUCAGGGAGCCGGUAUCAGGCACAAACCUUCGCCCAAGACACCUAGCCUUGCCACACCCACAAUGGGCCCUCAGCAGUGAUUAACAUUAAAAAUUAGCGACAGCUAGAUUUAGCUAAAGUAAACAGAGCCGGCAAAUCUGGUGCCAGCCGCCGCGGCUAUACCACGAGGCCCAAUUUGACACCCAUCGGCGUAAAGCGUGAUUAAAGCACUCUAAUUAUUAGAAUCAAACUAUGGUUGAACUGUGAUAAGUCUACCACCCGGAAGCCCAAAAACGAAAGUUAUUCUAACACCCAAACUUGAACUCACGACAGCCUGGGCACAAACUGAGAUUAGAUACCUCACUAUGCCAGGCCGUAAACCUUUAACUUACACCCCACUCCC
This 471-nucleotide ribosomal RNA is filed under the name Pseudophryne coriacea (red-backed toadlet). RNAcentral's name for it is "partial 12S ribosomal RNA". Lineage: Eukaryota; Metazoa; Chordata; Amphibia; Anura; Myobatrachidae. The record is from RNAcentral.